GACGUAGGGCGCGAGCGUUGUCCGGAUUUAUUGGGCGUAAAGAGCUCGUAGGCGGCUUGUCGCGUCGGUCGUGAAAACCUGCAGCUCAACUGCAGGCUUGCGGUCGAUACGGGCAGGCUGGAGUUCGGUAGGGGAGACUGGAAUUCCUGGUGUAGCGGUGAAAUGCGUUGAUAUCAUCAGGAACACCGGAGGCGAAAACGGCCCACUGGGUCUUAUCUGACGCUGAGGGACGAAAGCUAGGGGAGCGAACGGG
RNAcentral lists this ribosomal RNA (253 nucleotides) under uncultured bacterium. RNAcentral's name for it is "partial 16S ribosomal RNA". It matches the Rfam family "Bacterial small subunit ribosomal RNA", at positions 524 to 776 of the family's 1533-position model. The record is from RNAcentral.